This 851-nucleotide ribosomal RNA is filed under the name uncultured bacterium. Its description in RNAcentral is "bacterial SSU rRNA". It matches the Rfam family "Bacterial small subunit ribosomal RNA", at positions 8 to 858 of the family's 1533-position model. The record is from RNAcentral.
AGAGUUUGAUCCUGGCUCAGGAUGAACGCUAGCGGCAGGCUUAACACAUGCAAGUCGAGGGGCAGCGUGUCCAGCAAUGGAUGAUGGCGACCGCGGGAAGGGUGCGUAACGCGUGAGCAACAUGCCCUAUACAGGGAGAUACACCAGGGAAACUUGGUCUAAUAUCCCAUAGCAUUCAUUGAAGGCAUCUUUAAUGAAUUAAAGCUUCGGUGGUAUAGGAUUGGCUCGCGUGACAUUAGCCAGAUGGUGAGGUAACGGCUCACCAUAGCAAUGAUGUCUAGGGGUUUUGAGAGGAAGGCCCCCCACACUGGGACUGAGACACGGCCCAGACUCCUACGGGAGGCAGCAGUGAGGAAUAUUGGACAAUGGAUGGAAAUCUGAUCCAGCCAUGCCGCGUGCAGGAAGACGGCCUUAUGGGUUGUAAACUGCUUUUAUACGGGAGCAAUAAGGGUUACGAGUAAUCCGAUGAGAGUACUGUAUGAAUAAGGAUCGGCUAACUCCGUGCCAGCAGCCGCGGUAAUACGGAGGAUCCGAGCGUUAUCCGGAAUUAUUGGGUUUAAAGGGUGCGUAGGCGGCCAUUUAAGUCAGCGGUGAAAUUUUGCAGCUUAACUGUAACAGUGCCGUUGAUACUGUUUGGCUAGGAUUUGGUUGUAGUGUGCGGAAUGUGUGGUGUAGCGGUGAAAUGCUUAGAUAUCACACAGAACACCGAUUGCGAAGGCAGCACACUAAGUCAUUAUUGACGCUGAGGCACGAAAGUGUGGGGAUCAAACAGGAUUAGAUACCCUGGUAGUCCACACUGUAAACGAUGAUAACUCGCUGUCGGCGAUACACAGUCGGGGCCAAGCGAAAGC